UAUUGGUCAAUGGGCGCGAGCCUGAACCAGCCAAGUCGCGUGAGGGAGGACGGCCCUACGGGUUGUAAACCUCUUUUGCCGGGGGGCAACGGGAGUCACGUGUGGCGCCACUGAGAGUACCCGGCGAAAAAGCAUCGGCUAACUCCGUGCCAACAGCCGCGGUAAUACGGAGGAAGCGAGCGUUAUCCGGAUUUAUUGGGUUUAAAGGGUGCGUAGGCGGGCUUUUAAGUCAGCGGUAAAAAUUCGGGGCUCAACCCCGUCCGGCCGUUGAAACUGGGGGCCUUGAGUGGGCGAGAAGAAGGCGGAAUGCGUGGUGUAGCGGUGAAAUGCAUAGAUAUCACGCAGAACCCCGAUUGCGAAGGCAGCCUUCCGGCGCCCUACUGACGCUGAGGCACGAAAGUGCGGGGAUCGAACAGG
RNAcentral lists this ribosomal RNA (417 nucleotides) under uncultured bacterium. RNAcentral describes it as "bacterial SSU rRNA". It matches the Rfam family "Bacterial small subunit ribosomal RNA", at positions 362 to 776 of the family's 1533-position model. The record is from RNAcentral.